Molecule: ribosomal RNA, 611 nt
Filed under: Vishniacozyma victoriae
Lineage: Eukaryota; Fungi; Basidiomycota; Tremellomycetes; Tremellales; Bulleribasidiaceae
Description: partial large subunit ribosomal RNA
Rfam family: Eukaryotic large subunit ribosomal RNA
Source: RNAcentral
GCAUAUCAAUAAGCGGAGGAAAAGAAACUAACUAGGAUUCCCUUAGUAACGGCGAGUGAACCGGGAUGAGCUCAAAUUUAAAAUCUGGCGUCUUUCAGGCGUCCGAGUUGUAAUCUAUAGAGGCGUUUUCCGCGCCGGACCGCGUCCAAGUCUCUUGGAAUAGAGUAUCAAAGAGGGUGACAAUCCCGUACUUGACGCGACAACCGGUGCUCUGUGAUACGUUCUCAAUGAGUCGAGUUGUUUGGGAAUGCAGCUCUAAAUGGGUGGUAAAUUCCAUCUAAGGCUAAAUAUUGGCGAGAGACCGAUAGCGAACAAGUACCGUGAGGGAAAGAUGAAAAGCACUUUGGAAAGAGAGUUAAACAGCACGUGAAAUUGUUAAAAGGGAAACGAUUGAAGUCAGUCGUGUGAAAGGUAUUCAGCCGUCUCUGGCGGUGUAUUUGCCUUUCACGGGUCAACAUCAGUUUGAUCCGGUAGAAAAAGGCAGGAGGAAGGUGGCACCCUCGGGUGUGUUAUAGCCUCUUGUCAUAUGUGCCGGACCAGACUGAGGAACGCAGCUUGCCGCAAGGCCGGGGUUCGCCCACGUACAAGCUUAGGAUGUUGACAUAAUGGCU